GCUGGUCGAAUCUGGUGCGAUUAUUUAGUUAUGAUUCUCAGGAUCGAGCGGUUACAUCUGCAAGAUUUUUAGGAUUAGACGGUUGCAUCCAGAUAAGAUUGACAGCUAUGGUCAAUUGGUGCCUACCUUUUGAACCUGAGCCUAGUCAAUCUGAUUUCGAGGAGAGAUCAAAGAGUAUGAUGUGCCGACUAAGGCUCGGAGCCAGUUGCCGGCCGAUUAGGAGUUGAGACUGAUAGUUUUCCGACUAAGGCUCGAUUAGAUGGAU
Molecule: long non-coding RNA, 265 nt
Filed under: Elaeis guineensis (African oil palm)
Lineage: Eukaryota; Viridiplantae; Streptophyta; Magnoliopsida; Arecales; Arecaceae
Description: long non-coding RNA (EGUI_LNC021716)
Source: RNAcentral